RNAcentral lists this ribosomal RNA (459 nucleotides) under Sus scrofa (pig). RNAcentral describes it as "partial large subunit ribosomal RNA". It matches the Rfam family "Bacterial large subunit ribosomal RNA", at positions 1966 to 2597 of the family's 2925-position model. Lineage: Eukaryota; Metazoa; Chordata; Mammalia; Artiodactyla; Suidae. The record is from RNAcentral.
CACUUGUUCUCCAAAUAAGGACUUGUAUGAAUGGCCACACGAGGGUUUUACUGUCUCUUACUUCCAAUCAGUGAAAUUAACCUUCCCGUGAAGAGGCGGGAAUAAAAAAAUAAGACGAGAAGACCCUAUGGAGCUUUAAUUAACUAUUCCAAAAGUUAAACAACUCAACCACAAAGGGAUAAAACAUAACUUAACAUGGACUAGCAAUUUCGGUUGGGGUGACCUCGGAGUACAAAAAACCCUCCGAGUGAUUUUAAUCUAGACAAACCAGUCAAAAUAACCAUAACAUCACUUAUUGAUCCAAAAUUUUGAUCAACGGAACAAGUUACCCUAGGGAUAACAGCGCAAUCCUGUUCUAGAGUUCCUAUCGACAAUAGGGUUUACGACCUCGAUGUUGGAUCAGGACACCCAAAUGGUGCAACCGCUAUUAAAGGUUCGUUUGUUCAACGAUAAAGUCCU